UACGUAGGGGGCAAGCGUUGUCCGGAUUUACUGGGUGUAAAGGGUGCUCAGGUGGUCUUGUAAGUCAGAGGUGAAAUCCCGGAGCUUAACUCCGGAACUGCCUUUGAUACUACAAGGCUUGAGUAUGGAAGAGGUUGAUGGAAUUUCGGGUGUAGCAGUGAAAUGCGUAGAUAUCCGAAAGAACACCAGUGGCGAAGGCGGUCAACUGGUCCAUUACUGACACUAAAGCACGAAAGCGUGGGUAGCGAACAGG
RNAcentral lists this ribosomal RNA (253 nucleotides) under uncultured bacterium. RNAcentral describes it as "partial 16S ribosomal RNA". It matches the Rfam family "Bacterial small subunit ribosomal RNA", at positions 524 to 776 of the family's 1533-position model. The record is from RNAcentral.